GACGAACGCUGGCGGCGUGCUUAACACAUGCAAGUCGAACGGAAAGGCCCUGCUUUUGUGGGGUGCUCGAGUGGCGAACGGGUGAGUAACACGUGAGUAACCUGCCCUUGACUUUGGGAUAACUUCAGGAAACUGGGGCUAAUACCGGAUAGGAGCUCCUGCUGCAUGGUGGGGGUUGGAAAGUUUCGGCGGUUGGGGAUGGACUCGCGGCUUAUCAGCUUGUUGGUGGGGUAGUGGCUUACCAAGGCUUUGGCGGGUAGCCGGCCUGAGAGGGUGACCGGCCACAUUGGGACUGAGAUACGGCCCAGACUCCUACGGGAGGCAGCAGUGGGGAAUAUUGCCCAAUGGGCGGAAGCCUGAUGCAGCAACGCCGCGUGCGGGAUGACGGCCUUCGGGUUGUAAACCGCUUUCGCCUGUGACGAAGCGUGAGUGACGGUAAUGGGUAAAGAAGCACCGGCUAACUACGUG
This 468-nucleotide ribosomal RNA is filed under the name uncultured bacterium. Its description in RNAcentral is "partial 16S ribosomal RNA". It matches the Rfam family "Bacterial small subunit ribosomal RNA", at positions 28 to 507 of the family's 1533-position model. The record is from RNAcentral.